AUUUAUUCUAUUUUUUUUUAGACUAGAGUCUGGAUUUGUGAUAAGCCCCGAUGGUAGUUUAAACGUCAUUAAGAAGACGAAAGUUCCGGAUUGUGUAUUUCCAAAUUCUUCUCAAAAAAGUAUCGUCAGUACAGUAAAUGGUGCGACACAUGAAAUAACUGGACUUCUUGCAAAGAAGCAAAUAAAACUUCAGAGGAGAGAUGGAUUCUCUGAAGUUUCAUUUGUAGAGUUUUC
Non-coding RNA from Parasteatoda tepidariorum (common house spider), 234 nucleotides. The record is from RefSeq and is a predicted model, not a curated record. Lineage: Eukaryota; Metazoa; Arthropoda; Arachnida; Araneae; Theridiidae.